Non-coding RNA from Cinara cedri, 254 nucleotides. Lineage: Eukaryota; Metazoa; Arthropoda; Insecta; Hemiptera; Aphididae. The record is from the annotation of a GenBank genome assembly.
CUUUAUUGUCAUUCUUAAAGGAUAUUUGUCAUUUUCUAAUGGUUAUUUAUUCCUAUUAUCAUCCUAGGUGUUUUCCUUUUUACCUAAAAUAGGAAAAAGACAAAUACAUUUUGGGAGUACUUAAAGACGCAAGCCAUCAUUCGCUCGGACUAUUUUAAUCGCAAAAUACUCCUCAAUUUGUUGUGCAAAUUUUCCUACCAGUAAUUUUUUUUCGAAUUAUAAUGGUAGCACUUUUUCAGAAAGGAAAUCUGACU